CGAAGGGGGCGAGCGUUAUUCGGAAUCACUGGGCGUAAAGCGUGCGUAGGCUGUUUUGUAAGUCAGAAGUGAAAGCCCAGGGCUUAACCCCUGGAAUUGCUUUUGAAACUACAAGACUCGAAUUCGGGAGAGGAUAGCGGAAUUGGUCAGUGUAGCAGUGAAAUGCGUAGAUAUUGACAGGAACACCAGUGGCGAAAGCGGCUAUCUGGACCGACAUUGACGCUGAGGCACGAAAGCGUGGGAGCAAACAGGAUU
This 255-nucleotide ribosomal RNA is filed under the name uncultured bacterium. RNAcentral describes it as "partial 16S ribosomal RNA". It matches the Rfam family "Bacterial small subunit ribosomal RNA", at positions 526 to 779 of the family's 1533-position model. The record is from RNAcentral.